This 22-nucleotide non-coding RNA is filed under the name Arabidopsis thaliana (thale cress). The record is from RNAcentral. Lineage: Eukaryota; Viridiplantae; Streptophyta; Magnoliopsida; Brassicales; Brassicaceae.
UGACUUUCAGCAGGCCGAGUAU